UUAAGCGACUAAGCGUACACGGUGGAUGCCCUGGCAGUCAGAGGCGAUGAAGGACGUGCUAAUCUGCGAUAAGCGUCGGUGAGGUGAUAUGAACCGUUAUAACCGGCGAUUUCCGAAUGGGGAAACCCAGUGUGUUUCGACACACUAUCAUUAACUGAAUCCAUAGGUUAAUGAGGCGAACCGGGGGAACUGAAACAUCUAAGUACCCCGAGGAAAAGAAAUCAACCGAGAUUCCCCCAGUAGCGGCGAGCGAACGGGGAGGAGCCCAGAGCCUGAAUCAGUGUGUGUGUUAGUGGAAGCGUCUGGAAAGGCGUGCGAUACAGGGUGACAGCCCCGUACACAAAAAUGCACAUAUUGUGAGCUCGAUGAGUAGGGCGGGACACGUGGUAUCCUGUCUGAAUAGUGGGGGGACCAUCCUCCAAGGCUAAAUACUCCUGACUGACCGAUAGUGAACCAGUACCGUGAGGGAAAGGCGAAAAGAACCCCGGCGAGGGAGUGAAAAAGAACCUGAAACCGUGUACGUACAAGCAGUGGGAGCCUCUUAAUGGGGUGACUGCGUACCUUUUGUAUAAUGGGUCAGCGACUUAUAUUCUGUAGCAAGGUUAACCGAAUAGGGGAGCCGAAGGGAAACCGAGUCUUAACUGGGCGUUAAGUUGCAGGGUAUAGACCCGAAACCCGGUGAUCUAGCCAUGGGCAGGUUGAAGGUUGGGUAACACUAACUGGAGGACCGAACCGACUAAUGUUGAAGAAUUAGCGGAUGACUUGUGGCUGGGGGUGAAAGGCCAAUCAAACCGGGAGAUAGCUGGUUCUCCCCGAAAGCUAUUUAGGUAGCGCCUCGUGAAUUCAUCUCCGGGGGUAGAGCACUGUUUCGGCAAGGGGGUCAUCCCGACUUACCAACCCGAUGCAAACUGCGAAUACCGGAGAAUGUUAUCACGGGAGACACACGGCGGGUGCUAACGUCCGUCGUGAAGAGGGAAACAACCCAGACCGCCAGCUAAGGUCCCAAAGUCAUGGUUAAGUGGGAAACGAUGUGGGAAGGCCCAGACAGCCAGGAUGUUGGCUUAGAAGCAGCCAUCAUUUAAAGAAAGCGUAAUAGCUCACUGGUCGAGUCGGCCUGCGCGGAAGAUGUAACGGGGCUAAACCAUGCACCGAAGCUGCGGCAGCGACACUAUGUGUUGUUGGGUAGGGGAGCGUUCUGUAAGCCUGUGAAGGUGGCCUGUGAAGGGUUGCUGGAGGUAUCAGAAGUGCGAAUGCUGACAUAAGUAACGAUAAAGCGGGUGAAAAGCCCGCUCGCCGGAAGACCAAGGGUUCCUGUCCAACGUUAAUCGGGGCAGGGUGAGUCGACCCCUAAGGCGAGGCCGAAAGGCGUAGUCGAUGGGAAACAGGUUAAUAUUCCUGUACUUGGUGUUACUGCGAAGGGGGGACGGAGAAGGCUAUGUUGGCCGGGCGACGGUUGUCCCGGUUUAAGCGUGUAGGCUGGUUUUCCAGGCAAAUCCGGAAAACCAAGGCUGAGGCGUGAUGACGAGGCACUACGGUGCUGAAGUGACAAAUGCCCUGCUUCCAGGAAAAGCCUCUAAGCAUCAGGUAACAUCAAAUCGUACCCCAAACCGACACAGGUGGUCAGGUAGAGAAUACCAAGGCGCUUGAGAGAACUCGGGUGAAGGAACUAGGCAAAAUGGUGCCGUAACUUCGGGAGAAGGCACGCUGAUAUGUAGGUGAAGCGACUUGCUCGUGGAGCUGAAAUCAGUCGAAGAUACCAGCUGGCUGCAACUGUUUAUUAAAAACACAGCACUGUGCAAACACGAAAGUGGACGUAUACGGUGUGACGCCUGCCCGGUGCCGGAAGGUUAAUUGAUGGGGUUAGCGGCAACGCGAAGCUCUUGAUCGAAGCCCCGGUAAACGGCGGCCGUAACUAUAACGGUCCUAAGGUAGCGAAAUUCCUUGUCGGGUAAGUUCCGACCUGCACGAAUGGCGUAAUGAUGGCCAGGCUGUCUCCACCCGAGACUCAGUGAAAUUGAACUCGCUGUGAAGAUGCAGUGUACCCGCGGCAAGACGGAAAGACCCCGUGAACCUUUACUAUAGCUUGACACUGAACAUUGAGCCUUGAUGUGUAGGAUAGGUGGGAGGCUUUGAAGUGUGGACGCCAGUCUGCAUGGAGCCGGCCUUGAAAUACCACCCUUUAAUGUUUGAUGUUCUAACGUGGGCCCGUUAUCCGGGUUGCGGACAGUGUCUGGUGGGUAGUUUGACUGGGGCGGUCUCCUCCUAAAGAGUAACGGAGGAGCACGAAGGUUGGCUAAUCCUGGUCGGACAUCAGGAGGUUAGUGCAAUGGCAUAAGCCAGCUUGACUGCGAGCGUGACGGCGCGAGCAGGUGCGAAAGCAGGUCAUAGUGAUCCGGUGGUUCUGAAUGGAAGGGCCAUCGCUCAACGGAUAAAAGGUACUCCGGGGAUAACAGGCUGAUACCGCCCAAGAGUUCAUAUCGACGGCGGUGUUUGGCACCUCGAUGUCGGCUCAUCACAUCCUGGGGCUGAAGUAGGUCCCAAGGGUAUGGCUGUUCGCCAUUUAAAGUGGUACGCGAGCUGGGUUUAGAACGUCGUGAGACAGUUCGGUCCCUAUCUGCCGUGGGCGCUGGAGAACUGAGGGGGGCUGCUCCUAGUACGAGAGGACCGGAGUGGACGCAUCACUGGUGUUCGGGUUGUCAUGCCAAUGGCACUGCCCGGUAGCUAAAUGCGGAAGAGAUAAGUGCUGAAAGCAUCUAAGCACGAAACUUGCCCCGAGAUGAGUUCUCCCUGACCCUUUAAGGGUCCUGAAGGAACGUUGAAGACGACGACGUUGAUAGGCCGGGUGUGUAAGCGCAGCGAUGCGUUGAGCUAACCGGUACUAAUGAACCGUGAGGCUUAACCUU
This 2903-nucleotide ribosomal RNA is filed under the name Escherichia coli DEC1D. RNAcentral's name for it is "bacterial LSU rRNA". It matches the Rfam family "Bacterial large subunit ribosomal RNA". Lineage: Bacteria; Pseudomonadati; Pseudomonadota; Gammaproteobacteria; Enterobacterales; Enterobacteriaceae. The record is from RNAcentral.